Molecule: ribosomal RNA, 779 nt
Filed under: Campylobacter jejuni
Lineage: Bacteria; Pseudomonadati; Campylobacterota; Epsilonproteobacteria; Campylobacterales; Campylobacteraceae
Description: bacterial SSU rRNA
Rfam family: Bacterial small subunit ribosomal RNA
Source: RNAcentral
GAAAUGGGAAAAUUCUGACGGUACCUAAGGAAUAAGCACCGGCUAACUCCGUGCCGCGCGGGUAUCCGGAGGGUGCAAGCGUUACUCGGAAUCACUGGGCGUAAAGGGCGCGCUAGGCGGAUUAUCAAGUCUCUUGUGAAAUCUAAUGGCUUAACCAUUAAACUGCUUGGGAAACUGAUAGUCUAGAGUGAGGGAGAGGCAGAUGGAAUUGGUGGUGUAGGGGUAAAAUCCGUAGAUAUCACCAAGAAUACCCAUUGCGAAGGCGAUCUGCUGGAACUCAACUGACGCUAAGGCGCGAAAGCGUGGGGAGCAAACAGGAUUAGAUACCCUGGUAGUCCACGCCCUAAACGAUGUACACUAGUUGUUGGGGUGCUAGUCAUCUCAGUAAUGCAGCUAACGCAUUAAGUGUACCGCCUGGGGAGUACGGUCGCAAGAUUAAAACUCAAAGGAAUAGACGGGGACCCGCACAAGCGGUGGAGCAUGUGGUUUAAUUCGAAGAUACGCGAAGAACCUUACCUGGGCUUGAUAUCCUAAGAACCUUUUAGAGAUAAGAGGGUGCUAGCUUGCUAGAACUUAGAGACAGGUGCUGCACGGCUGUCGUCAGCUCGUGUCGUGAGAUGUUGGGUUAAGUCCCGCAACGAGCGCAACCCACGUAUUUAGUUGCUAACGGUUCGGCCGAGCACUCUAAAUAGACUGCCUUCGUAAGGAGGAGGAAGGUGUGGACGACGUCAAGUCAUCAUGGCCCUUAUGCCCAGGGGCGACACACGUGCCUACAAGAA